Molecule: ribosomal RNA, 216 nt
Filed under: Glomeromycotina sp.
Lineage: Eukaryota; Fungi; Glomeromycota
Description: partial small subunit ribosomal RNA
Rfam family: Eukaryotic small subunit ribosomal RNA (bases 75-216)
Source: RNAcentral
GGGUCAGUAGGUUGGUCGUGCCACCGGUACGUACUGGUCUCACUGAUCCCUCCUUCCUGAAGAACCGUAAUGCCAUUAAUUUGGUGUUGCGGGGAAACAGGACUGUUACUUUGAAAAAAUUAGAGUGUUUAAAGCAAGCUAACGCUUGAAUACAUUAGCAUGGAAUAAUGAAAUAGGGCGAUCGAUCCUAUUUUGUUGGUUUCUAGGAUUGACGUA